GAAUGUAUUUGCAAAGAUCAUUGUAGCAGCAGAAUUCUGAUAAGAUGGAGGAAAGAAAAGCCAGAGUGAAGCAGACCAUUAGCAGAUAAUUGUCAUAAUCUUGAUACUAAAUGGAGACCAGAAUUAAGGGCACCAGCAGUGUAAGGAAGGCUAUUUGUAAGGGAUUUGGCAUUGUGCCUGUCAGUGACUUCAGUGAGUGACAGCAGGGUCAGUGGAGUGACAGGUAGUGAGGGCUUGUAGAUAAACCAGUUGAAGUCAGAAGGCAAAGGAUCCUUUGAUGUAGUCCAUUCAGAGCAGAAGGAGAAGAAUGCAGAGUGGAUCUGCAGGGACAAAUAGAAGAUGCAGCGCAAUGGAGAUACUGUUUAAUGCCGCAGGGGACCUGGGCUCUUUUCGUCUCUCCUAUGUAAAGAGAAUUUCCUCCAUCCAAGUAAAACUGAUGCGAUCGGCUUUCAAAGAAUUGAAUGAAGCCCAUCCACACUGGGAAGGCAAUCUGCUUUGUUCAGUCUACUGAUUCAACUGUCAAUCUCAUCCAGAAACACCUUCCCAGAUGCACCAAGAAUGUUUAAGCAAAUAUCUGGGCACCUCGUGGUCCAGUCAAUUUGACAUAUAAAAUUAACCAUCCGAUGGUUCAACAUACAUGUACCUGUGAUGUUUAACCUACAAAUAAAGAUUGCUAAGAGGUCAA
Molecule: long non-coding RNA, 685 nt
Filed under: Homo sapiens (human)
Lineage: Eukaryota; Metazoa; Chordata; Mammalia; Primates; Hominidae
Description: HSALNT0345351
Source: RNAcentral